RNAcentral lists this ribosomal RNA (497 nucleotides) under uncultured bacterium. RNAcentral describes it as "partial 16S ribosomal RNA". It matches the Rfam family "Bacterial small subunit ribosomal RNA", at positions 28 to 507 of the family's 1533-position model. The record is from RNAcentral.
GACGAACGCUGGCGGCGUGCCUAAUACAUGCAAGUUGAGCGCUGAAGGUUGGUACUUGUACCAACUGGAUGAGCAGCGAACGGGUGAGUAACGCGUGGGGAAUCUGCCUUUGAGCGGGGGACAACAUUUGGAAACGAAUGCUAAUACCGCAUAAAAACUUUAAACACAAGUUUUAAGUUUGAAAGAUGCAAUUGCAUCACUCAAAGAUGAUCCCGCGUUGUAUUAGCUAGUUGGUGAGGUAAAGGCUCACCAAGGCGAUGAUACAUAGCCGACCUGGGAGGGUGAUCGGCCACAUUGGGACUGAGACACGGCCCAAACUCCUACGGGAGGCAGCAGUAGGGAAUCUUCGGCAAUGGACGAAAGUCUGACCGAGCAACGCCGCGUGAGUGAAGAAGGGUUUCGGAUCGUAAAACUCUGUUGGUAGAGAAGAACGUUGGUGAGAGUGGAAAGCUCAUCAAGUGACGGUAACUACCCAGAAAGGGACGGCUAACUACGUG